RNAcentral lists this long non-coding RNA (4523 nucleotides) under Xyrichtys novacula (pearly razorfish). Lineage: Eukaryota; Metazoa; Chordata; Actinopteri; Labriformes; Labridae. The record is from RNAcentral.
GGGUUUGGGAGAUAAUGUGACUCAGCGAGUGUUGGAAUGAGCCCACACCCUCAACGGUUUUGGGGCUUGUGAGUCAGUUGGCUCAUGCAAUGUUGCAUGGACUAAACUAAAGGAAGUCAUGAUUUUAAAGGCACACAAUGAAAAAGAGCACAUAAGAGUUCCAGGAAAAUUAUGAAAUGUAUCACCGGGAACAAUAUUAAAAAAAAAACCUCAAGCCUGUUCAUGAUCAUUUUUUCAAGCUAAGCAAAAAUUCCUCACAUCUGCUGACCUCAGUUCAUCUGAAUUUCCCAGUUUUGCAUCAGCCUGAAUGGAAAAACUGCCAGAUAGGAAUAUAAACAGGCCAGACGAAUAGUUUACAAAACCACUGGAUCUGAAGUGAAAAUAGCAGUUGACCUGAGUUGUCCCAAGGAUGCUAAACCACACAACUGCAGUUUCUGUGUACUCAAAGUUUACAUACUCUGAUGUCACUUCUUCAUGAAACAUCCAAACAUUUCCAUCUUCAUGUUUACCCGUCCACAACAAACCACAACUUCCCUUUUGGUUGUUGUCAAAGGAGUGUUCCUCUCUGCUCUGUUAUUAUGCCUAAAGUUGCUCAACAACAGCAAAACACACAAUAGCACAUGAUCGUCAACAUUUGCUGAAUAUCUUCUGACAAAUGUCUCAUUUAUUGUGCAUCUGGUCUAAAAGGGAUUGCAAACACAACCCAGCCUAAAAAGUCAAAAGAGAUGGCUGCGCUCUAAGACUGCCUGCAAACAACUGGUAAUGACUUCCAGUUGUUGGUGUGUAACCAAAUAUGAGAGGAUAUUCUUAGAAUUUGGAGAAGGGAUUGGUUUCAUUUUUGUUGGGGCCAUGGAAAACGUGCAAGGAGCAACAAAAAAAGGAACAAAAACCUCUCCAGAGUACAACUGGAGAACAAAACAAAGGCUAUUGCAAAAUCCCCUGACGGUGCUGCCGUUGUUUUGAUGAAUAUUGGACGCAUUUCAGUAGCCCAGUAUGGCAGGCUUUCUAUCAUAAUACUCAAGGCAUUUACAUUUUUGCUGGAGGUUAUGCUGGAACCUUUUCCUUACUGGAGGAUAUUUACUUCUUAGAAGUUGGCCCUGGGAGUAUUUCUUGGAAAACAUACAAUGAGAAGUAGCCUGGGGCUCAGUGACCUACCCACUGCAGAAAAGUAUGCACAGUGUCGUAACUGUGUAAGGCGUCUUGCAAUCGUAUCUUCACAGCCUUCUGACAGUUUUAUUUGGACGUGCCAGACAUGUGCACCUCACAAUACAGUACUUUUCCUAGUAUUAGCAUACUUAUUCACAUAAACAGAUACAGUGUGUAGUACUCUACUGUUGAUAGUAGAUAGCAGAGGAAUGUCAUUGCAACAGAUCCCACUGCUUCAGACGUAAGGCCCUAUAAAUAUGACUUCUUUUAGCUUCUAGUUAAAGCAGCUUCUGUGUACAUUUUUGCUAAUUUUUUAGCUUUGAAUUCAGAGGAGACUAUAAAAUUACAGAAACCAAAAAUCAUCUCUUUUCAUUUAACUUAAAGUGUGGGGAAAUUAUCUUAAAGUUUUGACAUAAUUUUAAGAUCAAGUUCACAACAACUGUUAGCAGCCCUACAUCAAAUUAUGUUAUUUACAUUGUUAAAAAUAUUAAAAUACAGGACCCGAAGUUGCAACAAGUGCCUUGCAUGAGAUUUAAAACGUGUCAAAAUUCAACUCGGUGUAUUUGGAAUCUUAGGACUUCUAUUUGAAUCCAGCUGUAUAAAUUUGAAAUGUGUGAUCUGUAUUAGCUGAGUUGAUGGAAAAGUCAAACAUAACAGAUAACCGCAUUUUGAAGUCAUGCAUUAACUGUAUGAGAAUAAAUAGUGUUUGUGUCACACAUGCAGUCCAUCUCACGACUUUCUCUUCAUGCAAAAUCAGAGUAUUGUAAGAUACCUACUUGAGUUAUUGUCAUGAGCAACGCCAUCAACAACAACAACAGAGAUACACCUCUUUUGCAUCAUAUUUCAGUCUGGAAUAACCUUUGCCUAUGAAGAGAACCUCGUCCCGUGGAUCCCCUGAUUGAGUUUCAUCAUGUCAGAACCAGCACUUAUACUACCUGCAGUUAUUUAUGAUGUUCUGACCCUCUUUUUUCUGACCUGUAGUGACACAGACCCACCCCCCCUGCACUUGGAUGUGUGAUCUUGUUUUCCUACUAAAACUUUGCUCACACCAUGUGCUCCUGGCUUGGGAUAGGCAGUCAGGAGCUUGCGUAAUGUUUGCUACCACUGGUGUGUUUAAGGGGCAGAAGGUGAAAGGAGGAGGAGGAGGAGGAGGAGAAGGAGAGGCAGAAAGCCUCCUGUCACAAGACUGCAGACUCCUGAAAACAACCUGUAAAAGGUUUUGACUUGAACACCUUUGAUAAACAUUGCAUUAAUGCUAUCAAGAGCAGGUAUGUGGACUGGUGACUAUGCACGGUGAUUAAUGACACUUGGCAGCUUACUGAGGACAUAUCCAUGUUUAGCAUAUAUUGUAGCAUGAGCCAAGAGGAUAUAUUAUGAUAGGUGACAUAACUAUAUAACAGUUUAGGAUCCAAUGCAAAACAAUGUGGUAUGAUGUGAUGAAAUAUGUAUCAUUAGAUAUUAUAAAAUGUGAUAAGACACCAUACCAGACCAGACCAUAUAAUUAUAUUAUGAAAACAUACAACAUAACACUACACAAUAUAAUACCAUAGAAUAUUACAUGUGACAGACAGACUGAAGAUAUAGGAUUUGAUUCAAUACAAUGAGGUUUAAUUUGACUCAAAAAAAUUAAAUACUAUAUGAUACAAAAAGAUAUGAUAUGAAAAGAGAUGAGACUAUGAGAGACGACAUGAGACGAUACGAGAUGAGAAGAAACAAGACAACAAGACAAGACAUGACGCAACGAUACCGUAUGAUAUGAUAGGAUAGUAUGAUAUGAUAAAUACUGACCCAUAUAGAUGUGUAACUAUUCCAUACAACAUCAUAUGGUACAGUAGUUACAAUGCAAAACAAAGGAGCCCACAAAGAUGCUGUGCAAUACAACAAUGAUAAGAGAACACAAAAAUAUUCAAUAAAGAGAUAGGAUACAGUCACUUACAAUAAAAUACAAGAUGAUACAAUACAAUUGGCUUAUACAAUGAAACUGUGAGUACAAAGUGACAGGCCAUGACUUAACACAAUAUGGUACAAGAUAUAUUAUGAUAUAAUAGGACAUUUAGAUUCUACAAAAUAGGAUCUGAUCAGGUAUGAUUUGAUACAUCAAGAUACUUCACUUUACAGCAGGUAAGGUCACAACACAAAAUUGUGUGGUUUGAUGUAAUACAACACAAUAAGAUUGAAUACAGCCAUAUACCAUACAGUAGGAUGUGACAUGCAUUACAUGUUGAAAAGUUAAUAAGAAUAUGAUAAUGACUAUCUAGAUUUAAUUAAAAUUAUGCUAGUACUGCAUAAAAACAAUGUAGAUACAAGGAAUUUCUAUACACCACCUCAUUUAAAUAACAUUCUCUAAACACUUGUGGAUAUGUUUAUUGACUUGUCAUGUCUGUGCCAGUGUUGCUUUGGCAUCUCACAAUUAGCAGAUGGGUUAAAAGUGCACACAUUUCUGCAUCAUCAGAGUUCUUGGAUUUCUCUCAUUAUCACAACCGUGAGACUGCAUCUUCACAUCUGUCUGAACAGCCGCUCCAUCGGGCUCUAAAACGUGCUUGCCUGUCUUUUCACACGUCACACGAUGAGGGUGAUGCAACCGGCCACUGUCCUCACCUUCUGUGUCAAUAACAACUUCCUUAAAGCUGUGACUAAACAGUGCAUGGAAAUUUUUGUGUGUUUUGUCCCAUUUUCUUUUUAGGUUACAGUCAGUUGGGAAAGUAGCUACAUGUUUAUACUCCUUGUUUUGAUUCAGAUUUUAAAACUCAUAAAACAAAAAAGACGACAAUAAAACAAAAUUGGAGCAGUUUAAUCUAUAACAGAGAGUGUCUUUUUAGGCUUCCAACUACAAUAAACACAAAACACAAAAAUGCUGCUAAACUAAACUCUAAAAAGGUCUCUAUGCCUGAAUUUCAUUAUGGAUUCUUUCUUUGUUAUAACUAAUUUUCCAUUAAACUUGUACUAAUACAAACUGCAUUGGUCCUCUUUUUACAGCUGACACUGAAAGCUGCAACGUGGGUCAUGGGUUAGGGAGUGGGUAUGUCUGUGUUGACUGUGUUUGAUACUGGAAUUCUGCAACAGCUGCAGGUAUUCACUGCCCUAGUCUGAGUCCAUGCACGGGGUGACUGAUAUGGAGAAUUUGGAUGAACACCCAUCUGGCCAUGGCCAUUCAGCACGGGGUGUGAGAAUACCGUCCAAGGCAUUGUAAAUGCAAAUGCUUCUCCAAUUCCCAGGCAAACAAAGGGGUUCGGGGUGGUGUAUGUCUGCGUGAACUCAUUGUUUAUGCACUGAACAUAGCACAAUACUCAAUCAUCUGUCAUUGACGUGCAUUGACAGCAGCAAAAACAGUUAUUGUGAUUUUAACGCCGUCAUGACUUGGACUGGAGUAUCUGGUC